Paramuricea clavata is the source of this 226-nucleotide non-coding RNA. The record is from the annotation of a GenBank genome assembly. NCBI's taxonomy places the organism in Eukaryota, Metazoa, Cnidaria, Anthozoa, Malacalcyonacea, Plexauridae.
CAAUGUUAAUUUCUGACCAUCAGAAUUCUGUAAAAUCUCUCCCCAAAGUCCAGGAAAUGGCAUUUCAGAGAGUCUAAAUUCAAAAAUUUUCCGGAUGAACAUGCCCUGGACCCCCUAGAAAACUUUGUGCAUAUACGGUGCUCGAGUCUUGCCUUUGGCACUUCUACUAGGGGGCCUUCGAAAAUUUUGAACCGGGGGCCCCCUGAUAUAACGUUACGCCACUGCG